RNAcentral lists this ribosomal RNA (441 nucleotides) under uncultured bacterium. RNAcentral's name for it is "partial 16S ribosomal RNA". It matches the Rfam family "Bacterial small subunit ribosomal RNA", at positions 338 to 795 of the family's 1533-position model. The record is from RNAcentral.
CCUACGGGAGGCAGCAGUCGGGAAUAUUGCGCAAUGGACGAAACUCUGACGCAGUGACGCCGCGUGCAGGAAGAAGGUUUUCGGAUUGUAAACUGCUUCAGACAGGGCAGAAAAAAGACAGUACCUGUAGAAUAAGCUCCGGCUAACUACGUGCCAGCAGCCGCGGUAAUACGUAGGGAGCAAGCGUUAUCCGGAUUUAUUGGGUGUAAAGGGUGCGUAGACGGGAAAACAAGUUAGUUGUGAAAUCCCGCAGCUUAACUGAGGAACUGAAACUAAAACUAUUUUUCUUGAGUGCUGGAGAGGAAAGGGGAAUUCCUAGUGUAGCGGUGAAAUGCGUAGAUAUUAGGAGGAACACCAGUGGCGAAGGCGACUUUCUGGACAGUAACUGACGUUGAGGCACGAAAGUGUGGGGAGCAAACAGGAUUAGAUACCCCUGUAGUC